CCUACGGGAGGCAGCAGUGGGGAAUAUUGGACAAUGGGCGCAAGCCUGAUCCAGCCAUACCGCGUGUGUGAAGAAGGCCUUCGGGUUGUAAAGCACUUUAAGCAGGGAGAAAAAGUUAUAAGUUAAUACCUUAUAACCGUGAUGUUACCUGCAGAAUAAGCACCGGCUAAUUCCGUGCCAGCAGCCGCGGUAAUACGGAAGGUGCAAGCGUUAAUCGGAACUACUGGGCGUAAAGCGCGCGUAGGUGGUUUGUUAAGUUGGAUGUGAAAGCCCUGGGCUCAACCUAGGAACUGCAUCCAAAACUAACUCACUAGAGUACGAUAGAGGGAGGUAGAAUUCAUAGUGUAGCGGUGGAAUGCGUAGAUAUUAUGAAGAAUACCAGUGGCGAAGGCGGCCUCCUGGAUCUGUACUGGCACUGAGGUGCGAAAGCGUGGGUAGCGAACAGGAUUAGAUACCCUGGUAGUCCACGCCGUAAACGAUGACAACUAGCUGUUGGAAGACAACGUCUUUCAGUGGCGCAGCUAACGUUUUAAGUUGUCCGCCUGGGGAGUACGGCCGCAAGGCUAAAACUCAAAUGAAUUGACGG
Molecule: ribosomal RNA, 586 nt
Filed under: uncultured bacterium
Lineage: Bacteria
Description: bacterial SSU rRNA
Rfam family: Bacterial small subunit ribosomal RNA
Source: RNAcentral